RNAcentral lists this ribosomal RNA (1882 nucleotides) under metagenome. Its description in RNAcentral is "bacterial LSU rRNA". It matches the Rfam family "Bacterial large subunit ribosomal RNA", at positions 993 to 2925 of the family's 2925-position model. The record is from RNAcentral.
GGGAGCUAAGUUCCGUGGUCAAAAGGGAAAGAGCCCAGAUCGUCAAUUAAGGUCCCAAAGAUAUAGUUAAGUGGAAAACGAUGUGAUUUUGCGUAAACAACCAGGAUGUUGGCUUAGAAGCAGCCAUACAUUUAAAGAGUGCGUAAUAGCUCACUGGUCGAGUGAAGUUGCGCGGAAAAUUACCGGGGCUAAACUAUACACCGAAAUUGCGGAUUCAUGAGUAAUCAUGAGUGGUAGAGGAGCAUUCUAUAGUAGGACGAAGCAUGAUCGAAAGGACAUGUGGACGAGAUAGAAGAGAGAAUGCCGGAAUAAGUAGCGAGAGCAAAGUGAGAAUCUUUGCCGUCGAAAGUCUAAGGUUUCCUAGGGAAGGUUCGUCCGCCUAGGGUAAGUCGGGACCUAAGGUGAGGCCGAAAGGCGUAGCCGAUGGAUAGCAGGUUGAAAUUCCUGCACUACAGGUAUACUUAAAAAGCGUAAGGGACGCAGGAGAGGAAGAUAAGCGAGGAAGAGGAAAAACUCGUAUCGAAAGAUAUAGUGAAAAUAACAAGUAACGAAUUAUCAAGAAUCACACUGACAAGAAAAGCUUACGAGCAUUGUAUAUCAGUACCCGUACCGCAAACCGACACAGGUAGAUGAGGAGAGGAUCCUAAGACGAGCGGGAGAAGCAUUGUUAAGGAACUCGGCAAAUUGACCCCGUAACUUCGGGAGAAGGGGUACCUAUGUAAAAGUAGGUCGCAGAGAAGAGGCCCAAGCAACUGUUUAACAAAAACACAGGUUUCUGCUAAAUCGAAAGAUGAAGUAUAGGAGCUGACGCCUGCCCAGUGCUGGAAGGUCAAGGGGAAAGGUUAUCCGUAAGGAGAAGCUUUGAACCAAAGCCCCAGUGAACGGCGGCCGUAACUAUAACGGUCCUAAGGUAGCGAAAUUCCUUGUCAGGUAAGUUCUGACCCGCACGAAAGGCGUAAUGAUUUGGGCGCUGUCUCAACAAUGUACCCGGCGAAAUUGUAGUACUAGUGAAGAUGCUAGUUACCUGCGACAAGACAGAAAGACCCCAUGGAGCUUUACUGCAGCUUGAUACUGGGUUUCGGUAAUUUAUGUACAGGAUAGGUGGGAGACUGAGAAGGCAGAGCGUCAGCUUUGCUGGAGUCACUGUUGGGAUACCACCCUUAAGUUACUGAAAUUCUAACCAUGAAUCGUAAACCGGUUCGGGGACAAUGUCAGGCGGGCAGUUUGACUGGGGCGGUCGCCUCCUAAAGAGUAACGGAGGCGCCCAAAGGUUUCCUCAGCGCGGACAGAAAUCGCGCGGAAGAGUGUAAAGGCAGAAGGAAGCUUAACUGAAAGACAGACAUGUCGAGCAGAUACGAAAGUAGGGCUUAGUGAUCCGGCGGUAGUGAAUGGAAAUGCCGUCGCUCAACGGACAAAAGUUACCCUGGGGAUAACAGGCUUAUCUCUCCCAAGAGUUCACAUCGACGGGGAGGUUUGGCACCUCGAUGUCGGCUCAUCGCAUCCUGGAGCGGAAGUACGUUCCAAGGGUUGGGCUGUUCGCCCAUUAAAGCGGUACGCGAGCUGGGUUCAGAACGUCGUGAGACAGUUCGGUCCUUAUCUGUCGCAGGCGUAGGAUAUUUGAAAGGAGCUGUCCUUAGUACGAGAGGACCAGGAUGGACAUACCGAUGGUGUAUCAGUUGUCACACCAGUGGCACGGCUGAGUAGCUAAGUAUGGAAGGGAUAAACGCUGAAAGCAUCUAAGUGUGAAGCCCACCUUAAGAUAAGAUAUCCCAUACUGUUAAAGUAGUAAGAUUCCAGGAAGACGACCUGGUUGAUAGGCUGGAGGUGGAAGUGCAGUAAUGCAUGUAGCUGACCAGUACUAAUAGAUCGAGGGCUUAACCAC